Paramuricea clavata is the source of this 391-nucleotide non-coding RNA. The record is from the annotation of a GenBank genome assembly. NCBI's taxonomy places the organism in Eukaryota, Metazoa, Cnidaria, Anthozoa, Malacalcyonacea, Plexauridae.
AUUACGCGUCAAAGCUGCAAACUGGGAAUCGAAAGCUUGUACUUUUAAUCAAUAUUUAGAACCAGAGAAUAUCUAAAAACUUACUCAUUAUGGAAAAUACAGUAAACAAACGCUGUUUGUUGGUCACUAGCAAAAUUGCCUCGUUGUUUUGGGCUCAGUGCCAGUGUUGACUUUGUCUUUGAGCUUUCGCUAUCAAUCAAAAUCUACAAAGCGGCCAGGCGGUGCUGAAAUAUUACAUGCUAUACUUACUUCCAGCUUUCGAAUCUCAAGAAACAAGAUGGAUUUUUAUGGUGAUUAAGAUUUAAGCAAAGUUUCUAUAUAAUUUUAGUUUCUCGUUUCGUGUUGACAUAUUUAUUUGCUCUGACUGCAUUGCUUGAUUCUUAAAUCGGAC